Molecule: ribosomal RNA, 120 nt
Filed under: Petromyzon marinus (sea lamprey)
Lineage: Eukaryota; Metazoa; Chordata; Hyperoartia; Petromyzontiformes; Petromyzontidae
Source: RNAcentral
ACUUAUAACCAAAUCAACCUGAAUGCACCCGAUCUUGUCCGACCUCAGAAGCUAAGCAAGAUUUGAGCCUGAUUAGUAAUUGGAUCGGGGAAUGCCUGAGAAUAAAAAGUGUUGAAGGUU